RNAcentral lists this long non-coding RNA (371 nucleotides) under Homo sapiens (human). Its description in RNAcentral is "non-protein coding lnc-C11orf24-2:1". The record is from RNAcentral. Lineage: Eukaryota; Metazoa; Chordata; Mammalia; Primates; Hominidae.
UGGGCUUUCUUUGUUGGGAAACAUUUUAUUACAGUUUUCAUCGCAUUACUUGUUAUUGGUCUGUUCAGGUUUUUGUUAUUUUAAUUUUUUUGAGAUGGAGUCUGGCUCUGUCGCCAAGGCUGGAGUGCAGUGGUGCAACCUCGGCUCGCUGCAACCUAUGCCUCCCAGGUUCAAGUGAUUUUCCUGCCUCAGCCUCCCGAGUGGCUGACAUUAGAGGCACCCGCCACCACGCCCGGCUAAUUUUUAUAUUUUUUCAGUAGAGAUGGGGUUUCACCAUGUUGGCCAGGCUGGUCUCGAACUCCUGAUCUCAGGCCUUCCAAAGUGCUGGGAUUACAGGCGUAAGCCACCGUGCCCGGCCUGUUCAGGUUUUG